CGGAAUCUACUUUUUCGUGGGGGAUAACGUAGGGAAACUUACGCUAAUACCGCAUACGACCUACGGGUGAAAGCAGGGGAUCUUCGGACCUUGCGCGAUUGAAUGAGCCGAUGUCGGAUUACCUAGUUGGCGGGGUAAAGGCCCACCAAGGCGACGAUCCGUAGCUGGUCUGAGAGGAUGAUCAGCCACACUGGAACUGAAACACGGUCCAGACUCCUACGGGAGGCAGCAGUGGGGAAUAUUGGACAAUGGGCGCAAGCCUGAUCCAAACCAUACCGCGUGGGUGAAGAAGGCCUUCGGGUUGUAAAGCCCUUUUGUUGGGAAAGAAAUCCAGCUGGUUAAUACCCGGUUGGGAUGACGGUACCCAAAGAAUAAGCACCGGCUAACUUCGUGCCAGCAGCCGCGGUAAUACGAAGGGUGCAAGCGUUACUCGGAAUUACUGGGCGUAAAGCGUGCGUAGGUGGUCGUUUAAGUCCGUUGUGAAAGCCCUGGGCUCAACCUGGGAACUGCAGUGGAUACUGGACGACUAGAGUGUGGUAGAGGGUAGCGGAAUUCCUGGUGUAGCAGUGAAAUGCGUAGAGAUCAGGAGGAACAUCCAUGGCGAAGGCAGCUACCUGGACCAACACUGACACUGAGGC
Molecule: ribosomal RNA, 638 nt
Filed under: Stenotrophomonas maltophilia
Lineage: Bacteria; Pseudomonadati; Pseudomonadota; Gammaproteobacteria; Lysobacterales; Lysobacteraceae
Description: bacterial SSU rRNA
Rfam family: Bacterial small subunit ribosomal RNA
Source: RNAcentral